AUUUGCAGUAGCUACAGCAGAUUGGAACGGUUGAAGAUGACAGGGUUUAAUAUGACAAAUACUGUUUAUCCUCUAAACUCAACUAACGCAACAAAUUCAACAACACCGAUGGUAAUGUUACGGGAGACUUGGGUACGAGCCGUAUUAAUAACGCUAUAUGCUUUUGUCUUUAUACUUGGUUUGUCGGGCAAUAUUCUAGUGGUUUUUGUCGUUGUUCGUAACAGAACAAUGCAAACAAUUACCAAUAUUUUUAUCAGCAAUCUAGCAGUCAGCGACAUUAUGAUGUGUUUACUUGCUGUACCAUUUACCCCAAUUUCCGCUUUGCUGGACGGCUGGGUAUUUGGUCAAGCUCUUUGCCAUCUUAUUCCAAUGGCUUUAGGAGUCUCUGUCUACGUAUCAACUUUAACUUCAACGGCUAUAGCUAUUGAUAGAUAUUUUGUAAUAGUUCAUCCAUUCAAACCGCGUAUGAGGAAGGGUGUUUGCCUUUUGUUAAUUGUAGCCAUUUGGAUAAUAUCAAUAUCUAUAUCAUUGCCAUUAGCUAUUUAUCAAACAUUAGAGUGGGAUUCAGAUAAUGAUGCACCAUCUUGUUUCGAAUCAUGGCCAAAACAAAAUGCGAGACAAUUUUUUACAGUAACAAGUCUCGUUUUACAAUAUAUUGUACCGUGUUCAGUUAUAACGUACUGCUACGUGAAUGUAAGUACGGUGUUGAGAGUAAGAGCUCAAGCAAGAUCACAACAUCGAAGAUGCAGAGACAGGGACGAAAUAGAAAUAAAGAGGAAGAGGAGAACGAAUAGAAUGUUGAUUGCUAUGGUUUGCAUAUUUGUAGUGUGUUGGUUACCGUUAAAUAUUGUUCUCAUCUUUACCGAAUAUAAAAGAACUCUUGAUAAUUGGGAGUACUAUGAGCAUCUUUUCUUAUCGGCUCAUGUCAUUGCUAUGUCAUCAACAAUUUAUAAUCCAUUCCUUUACGCUUGGAUGAAUGAAAAUUUUAAAAAGGAAUUCAAGCAAGUAGUACCCGGUUUAUUUUAUAUUUUUGGCCAAAGUUCCAGAGCCGGAAAUGCUGCAACUGCUUCCCAGUAUACAACUGUUGAGACUACAGUAGUUGCCGCCAGAAAUGGAAAUUUAAAACCAAAUGAAAAUGACGCUGCCUUUGACUCUCAGACGGAAACUGUUGCUUUGAACGUGAGACCGAAAGAAGAUGAGGAUUGAAUGAGCUUUUUGCUUAUAUAUAUUUUUCAUAAUAGAGGAGUUAAAGUAUGUAUGGUUUAAUACGGUGUCGAAGAAAUAACAAAGGCUUACUUUAUCCUGAAAAGAGAGAAGAAGGGGAAGGGUAAAUAAACGGCAUUUUGAAUUUAAAUAGACAGAAUUCUUUAUUUCCCCUUGAAUUGAAAACAAAACAAUCAAAGAAAAAUAAAUAUAAAUAAAUAAACAAUGAACUAUUGCGUCAACAAAAGUUAACAGCAACGGAAAAGUGUUAUUAAUGCUACAACUUCUACAACAACAUCUACUAUUAUUUCUACUAUUUCUACCAUAGCUAAAAAAGACAUGAAUAUCAGAAACCC
This 1559-nucleotide unclassified non-coding RNA is filed under the name Dimorphilus gyrociliatus. RNAcentral's name for it is "g_PROTEIN_RECEP_F1_2 domain-containing protein". Lineage: Eukaryota; Metazoa; Annelida; Polychaeta; Dinophilidae. The record is from RNAcentral.